UACGUAGGGGGCAAGCGUUGUCCGGAAUCAUUGGGCGUAAAGAGCGUGUAGGCGGUUCGGUAAGUCGGCUGUGAAAGUCCAGGGCUCAACCCUGGGAUGCCGGUCGAUACUGCCGGACUAGAGUUCGGAAGAGGCGAGUGGAAUUCCCGGUGUAGCGGUGAAAUGCGCAGAUAUCGGGAGGAACACCUAUGGCGAAGGCAGCUCGCUGGGACGUAACUGACGCUGAGACGCGAAAGCGUGGGGAGCGAACAGG
RNAcentral lists this ribosomal RNA (253 nucleotides) under uncultured bacterium. RNAcentral's name for it is "partial 16S ribosomal RNA". It matches the Rfam family "Bacterial small subunit ribosomal RNA", at positions 524 to 776 of the family's 1533-position model. The record is from RNAcentral.